This is a non-coding RNA of Theobroma cacao (cacao), 345 nucleotides long. NCBI's taxonomy places the organism in Eukaryota, Viridiplantae, Streptophyta, Magnoliopsida, Malvales, Malvaceae. The record is from RefSeq and is a predicted model, not a curated record.
GCCUUGAGAGUUUCUACUUUCUAUGUUCGACUACUGUUUUUGUUAUCAGAAGCAGAAUUAUCUGCGUGCAUUCAAAACAAGAUAAGUGAAAGCUCCCUGCAGGAUAAACAAAGCUGCAUCAGAAGAAUCAGAAUUCUAAAGGUGAAUCUCAAGGCAAUGACAAUAACUUAUUAUUCCGUGGAAUUUUAGGCACAUGAGCUUAAAGGUCAAAGACGGAUGCCAUAAAAGCAUAUAGAGAUUACAUGUCUAUCUUAAUUCUAAAGACUAAGACCCACUCCAUAUCUAUAUAGUCAUAUUACUUUGUCACCAUGAAUUCCUACCAAAUAAAAACUCUCUUUCCUUGCA